RNAcentral lists this long non-coding RNA (239 nucleotides) under Phaseolus vulgaris (common bean). RNAcentral describes it as "long non-coding RNA (PVUL_LNC003192)". The record is from RNAcentral. Lineage: Eukaryota; Viridiplantae; Streptophyta; Magnoliopsida; Fabales; Fabaceae.
AGCAAUCUCGUAGGUUAUUUAAUUUAAUAUUUGUGAAUGCUUGAGAAUUCUAUCAUUAAAUCACAUGGCUCAGAAAUGAAAGUAAACGAUUUGCGAGCUAAUUAAUGACCGAAACGAAGAUUUGUGUAUAAACAAAUUGGUCAAUUCCUCCGACAAACAACCUCCCUUUCUAAAAUACAAAAACUCUGGCACUGGAUCUCGCCAAGAACAAGAUUUGGGAGGAAAAGUUAGUAUGGUUG